RNAcentral lists this ribosomal RNA (572 nucleotides) under uncultured eukaryote. RNAcentral's name for it is "eukaryotic LSU rRNA". The stretch from base 142 to 296 matches the Rfam family "5.8S ribosomal RNA". The record is from RNAcentral.
UCCCUAGGUGANACCUGCGGAAGGAUCAAUUACACGAUUGAAAUUUCAAAAACUUGCAACUUACUGUGGAGGCUUGCCUCUUUUGUGUCUAACCCUUUUUUUCAAUCUUGAAUCCAAGACAGAUAUCUAAAAGUUUCUCACAACUUUUGGCGAUGGAUGUCUCGGCUCGAACAACGAUGAAGGACGCCGCUAAAUGCGAUAAGCGUUGUGAAUGGCAGAAUUCCGCGAAUCAAAAGAAAGCUGAACGCAUACUGCGCUUUUAGGAUCACCCUAAGAGCAUGCUUGGUUCAGAACGUUUACACAUUUAUAUCACGAAACAAAAUUCGCAUUGCGCGAUUGGUGUUUGUGGUGUUCUCAUGUGUCAGUGACGAGUUUGCCUAUUGGUGAUCUAUCCAUUGACGCAUCAGAUUUAGUGGCAAGUGUUGCGGAUGCAUGUCUUUCUGUCCGGCGAAUCUUUUAGGUUUCAUGGCAGAUCCUGCAAGUGCGAUGCGUUCAAUUGCUACGUCAAAGCGAAUUUAAUCUUUGCGUAUGAACUCAAGUAGGGCUACCCGCUGAAUUUAAGCAUAUCAAUA